Molecule: long non-coding RNA, 1486 nt
Organism: Cervus elaphus (red deer)
Lineage: Eukaryota; Metazoa; Chordata; Mammalia; Artiodactyla; Cervidae
Exons: 3
Source: RefSeq, a predicted model, not a curated record
AUAGGGUCACAAAGAUCUGGACAUGACUGAAGUGACUUCGCAUGCAUGCAUAAUAUGAAACAGGCAUUGUGUUACAGCUAAUCACAAGCAACUUAUGUCCCCAGCAUGAAGGGACACUUUUUAUAAUAUAAUACAAAGAGUAUGAUUACAGAUAUAUGAGCAGCACGUUUUGCUUUCUGAUCAUAAGCUCUAUUGACGAAACAGCUAAUAUUUGUUAAGUUCUUCCUAUAUGCCAAGAACUGUGUUAAAGUCUCUCUAUGAAUUAUUUCAUCUUAUAUAUCUAGAGUGUCCUAUAAAAACAAUAUGAGAGGGUUACUAUUUUUAAUUCCAAUUUGCAGAUAAGGAAACUAACCUCAGAGAGGUUUGGGACUUGUCUCAGGACAUCUUGUGGGGCUUGUUUUCUAAACAUUUUAUGUUUUAAUAGAAAGAAAUCACUUCUGGACAAAAUAUCCUCAGGAAUAGUAAGAAUCAGUCAAUAAUAGACCUCUUUCUACAUGAUCUCUCCUUGUUCUCUCAUUUUAAACUUUCUUCCAAUUGCCCCAAUUAUUAAGCAAGAAAAAAGUGGCCAGUUGCUUUAAAAGAGUGCCUAAACUUCUGUCCAGUUGCAGUCCCUAUUCUUUCAAAACUUUGAUGUUCAUUGUUUCUCAUCUACUUAUAAGUGAAUUAUGUUAAGAGCCUUGAAGACAAAACAGCAGAAAACAAACAAACAAACAAAAAUGGUCUUUGAUUUUCAAAAGGAUGUCCUUAAGGUCACCAAUGUUGCUUAGCUAAAAUAUCAGAAGUACAUUUUAUAUGUCUAUUCAUUUGUUUGAAUUGUUUGGAAAUGUCAUCCUGCCUACUUUUCGUAUACUUUAUGUAGGCACGGCCUAACCAACCAACAGUUGGUUUAGGAAACCUAACCUUUUGAACCUAAACUUUCUGAAACCUAACCUUUUUAUUUCCCUGAAUGCACUGUUUCCUGUGACUUUUACAUAAAUUGUUUUAGCAUGUCUUUUGAAUAUUGGGUAGUAAUUUGUUUUCAGGGAAAGCCCUAGUUUUGCAGGGCAUAUAUAUACAUUAUUACAUGGCCCUUUUUUGGUAUCCACAUGUGGAAUCCAAGUUCCAAGCAAAAAUUCUGCUGGAUGUCAACACAAUGACUGGGCAUAUCCCCAAGGAAGAUAAUACAAAAUUGCCUGGACUCUGAAUGAUUCUUCAUUAACCCACACAAAAUCCAUGCAGCCUGAACAGAGGGCUAACACUGAUUGGAAGAAACUUUUACUGCAAAUUGGAUUUUGUCCUCCCAAACACCUGGUAAAGAAAGAUCACCUUCGAUGGAUGGAGAGUAACACUUAUAUAUUGGAAUAUAUAAAGAGUGCACAACUCCAACUUAUAUAAAACUACAUUGUUUAUGCCUGCCUAACUACUUGAAAUUGUUGCUUAAUUUACCUUUCACCUGAAGUUUGUAAUAAUUGACCAAGAAAUGUUUGUAUUUUUCUAAAAAGGAACA